Molecule: non-coding RNA, 709 nt
Organism: Rattus norvegicus (Norway rat)
Lineage: Eukaryota; Metazoa; Chordata; Mammalia; Rodentia; Muridae
Source: RefSeq, a predicted model, not a curated record
GGCCGAAAUCCAUGGUUACCAGGGCACAACUUCAAUCUAGUCGACUACACAGCCUCCUUCAUUUGGCUGAAGCUUUCUUAAGCCUGGAUAGUUAAGAGAAAGACAUACUAUGGUAGAGAGAGUUGCUCCCACAUAUGUGAGGGGAGAAUCUCUCAACAUGGUAUCGUCUCUCUUUCCCUGUAACAAAGCAGCUCAUGUCCACUGCUCAGUCUUACUUGAACUACGGUUUCUCUCUCAAGUGUUUGCUCAUCUCCAGCUAUUGAGAGAGAUUUCAAGUGUCAGGGAACAAAGAACCUUCUCAUUGAGCCAUAGUCCUGGUCACACUGGAGGCUGCAGUGUGGGAGCAGGGCUGACCCGAGGAAGAAAGGAGAGAGUGAUUAUGGGGAAGCUGGGAAGAUGCCAGUAGGCCAAGCAGUGACCCAGGCAACCACCUCCAGAGAUACAGGACUGACAUGACGCCUGCGAGUGAAAUCCAUGCCCUGGAUUUCACUUCACAGUAUACAGGUACCCAGCCAAUUACCAUGAAUACUCCUGAUGGAUCAGGCUGCUAACAAAACUAGGUCAAACCUAAAAUAGAAUCUCUGGGACACACCACUGCACGUGUCUGAUCACAUGAUUUGAUUGAGAAGGUUUGACCCUGAAGGAGGGUGGCAUCAUCCCACGAAGGCUGAAGUCCUAGACUGAAUAAACAGAAAAAAAAAUGAGCUAA